GACCUCGGUUCCCUAGUUUCUUAAGGGGGUGGGAUGUGUGUGUGUUUAAAAUGUCCAGGAUGGAGAAGGGGUUGGGCCUGGUGGAGACGGGCUUGCAAACCUCCCCCCAAAGACUCCAGGCCUACAGCUGCCAUGCUCCAGUGCAGACAGACAAUCGGACAGGCUCUUAACGCAGACUGUUCUUCCACCAAACACUUUUUGAGGAAAGAGAGGAGGAAGAAAGGAAGAAAAGAGGGAAGAGAGAAAGGAAGGGGAGAGAAAAGUGGAAGAAAAUGGAUUAUAUGUGGACACACAGCACGUGCCAAGAGCCACAAGAGCCGUAUUCGAUGACCACACGAAGACCUCACACGGCCGCUCCGUGAGAGUGGCGGUGCGUUUGCCCAUGACAAAUGAAGUAAGCAAGGUUGAAUUGCUUUCCCAAGACCGCAUAGCAUUAACCAGCAGAGUUUGAACUUGAAGCCAGGCCCGUCUGUGUGCAAAGGCUGAGCUGGAUCUGCCUCGCCACAUGGCCUCCUGGAGCACCAGACCCUGCCUAAGUGCUGCCGGCCGAGAAGACCAGAUUUUCUCCACGCGUCCGGCAUUCCACUCUUCUAGCCCAACGUUGGAACUUCCCGGCUCAGGAAUAUGGGGAGCUGCAGCUUUGGGAAGUCAGGAUCGGGGAGACAAGGCAGCUGUGGCUUAAGGCCAGGCCUCUGGAUACCUCUGACACAAGGGAUGGCUCCUCUGUGUUUUUCUGAUUGGCCAUAUAGGCAGGAGGAAAGACAGCAGUAAUCAUGCGAGUCAUGAGACUCUCGCAGUGUUCGCUCAUUAUCUGCCUGCGUCUGGGCGGGGAGGGGAUUAUUUCCCAUUUACAGUUGGUGACACCCCCACAGAAGCCUCAAACGUGAUUCUUGGGCCCAACUCAGCCAAUCCUGUCCUCUCAGCAAUUCUUCAAGGCCCAGCUCAAACAUCCCCUCCUCCAGGAUGCCUUCCGCCAACUUACAGCGUUGUUAAUAACACCCUCUCCCAUGCCUGUGUGCCUGGAGCCAAAGAUGAAGUUUAACCUCCCUUUGUAAUCUGAUCCCUACUACAGCCUGGCACAGAGUAGCUUCUUACUAAAUGUUUAUGAAUUAAAUACUUUGCCCAUUCCACUGAACAGGACUUUUCCUGUGGACUGUAAACAGCUGCUGCCUUUUUUUUUUUUUUUUUUUGUCUGUCUAUUGUUUGCCCCACCCAGGUGAGCUGAGCCCACCAGGUGAGCUCCAGGAGGGAAGGGAGCUCGUCUGCAGGUUUCUCUCUUUAUCUCUGGCUCACUGCCACCUCUGCCUCCCAGGUUCAAAUUUUACAUUUUCAUACCUCUACAGGAAAUUCAGUUCCAAAAGAUGGGCCGACUUCUCAUUUUAGAGAUGACGACAAAGGCCCAGAGAGGGGCAGUGAUUCAUCCAAGGUGGCAGAGCCAGUCAGGAAGAGCAUCCUGGAGGGAGCCCCGGUCUGCCAACCCCACCGUAUUCAUUCUCACACCUGAUCAUAUGAGUGUAAAGUUCUAGUUGAUGGAAGGACGUGACAUAUUUUGUCCUUUGUUCUUCCCAGGUGCCAUGAUUACUCUCUUUAAUGGAUGAGGAAAUUGAGGCACGAAUGGGCUUGGAAACUUGCCGAAGUUCCCACCGGCAGUAAAUGACAACGCUGGGGUGGGGAUGAUCCUAAGAUGCUGCUCCCACCGGCAGCUGUGAACCAAUGCGAGGGCCCAUCUUCCACCCAGGGCCCGUGCUAGCCUGGAGCUGCAGACUCUCCCCAGCCACCCCUGCCCGGGAGAGAUAGGCCUGGCCGACCACGCCAGCUCGGGAAACAUAACAAAAGCCACGCAGAGGACAGAGCAGCCCGGCAGUGCCUCUGUGGAUGUGCGACGCAGACAUCACAAGAUGAUUUAUGUAACUUCUUACAUAAUGACAAUAUUUCUAUCAAAAACCAGCCCAAGGCAGGCUGUCAGCCGUAAUCAGAACGGACGUGCUUCUUGCUUCCUGAGAACAGGAGGCAUCGGGUCAAAGCAAACCCCUUUGGCUGCCAGGCUAAGGGCUUCCUGACCUGCUGAACUUGCCUGGUGUGGCUCUGUCCUCAGAGGAGGCAGAGACCUGGUAAUGCCCCAGAGGAGUCACAGCCAGGCUCAGCCAGCCCCAUCACCCCUGGCUGCAGCCCACCUCCAGCGACAGAGACCACUGUCAGUGUGAUCAAAUACCACACUGGAAGAGGUUUCAACCACAUUAUUGUACCAUUAGAGGGAGACUGGCUUUGGAGAUGAGAUCUUUGAACUCAGCCCCUACCUGGCUGUGUGAUCUUGAGGUAGUCACUCACCCUCUCUAGGCCUCAGUUUCCUGGACGAAUUACAUCAUCAAUUCUUGACCUCCAUGCUGAGCACAUGGAUAUGGUGCUAGCAUGCCACAAGUCGGUGCUACUUAUAUGUGGCAAAUGAUUUACUUUUUCCUAAUAUAAAUCAGUGCGAUUCAACCUCAUCAAAUCAGCAACCACUUUAUAAGAUGAAUAUCCUGGGAACUCCAGAAGCCUUGGGAGGACACAGGAGAGAGCUACCUGUUCCCUGGGAUAGUUCCACAUUGCACAGACCCCUGGGACCUUAACACAGGGCUGGGCUUCUGAACCAGCUUCCUUUGGUCUCCAGUUCUUAGUGGCAGUAAUAGAUGUGAUAUGUAUAUGCUGGGAGGUGAAGCCCCUGAACAGAAUGGCCGAUGCCCAUGCACACUGGGAGGGACCAUCUGUCUUACAACCCAUGAGCAGGUACUAUGACCAGCCCAUCUUAAGAUGAGGAGGCUAAGGCACAGAACAGUGAAGGGCCUUGUUGAAGGUCACAGCUAGUAAAUGGCAGAGCUGGAUACAAAC
This is a long non-coding RNA of Sapajus apella (tufted capuchin), 2868 nucleotides long. RefSeq lists it as uncharacterized. The record is from RefSeq and is a predicted model, not a curated record. NCBI's taxonomy places the organism in Eukaryota, Metazoa, Chordata, Mammalia, Primates, Cebidae. The transcript is spliced from 6 exons.